UACGGGGGGGGCAAGCGUUGUUCGGAAUUACUGGGCGUAAAGGGCUCGUAGGUGGCCAACUAAGUCAGACGUGAAAUCCCUCGGCUCAACCGGGGAACUGCGUCUGAUACUGGAUGGCUUGAAUUCGGGAGAGGGAUGCGGAAUUCCAGGUGUAGCGGUGAAAUGCGUAGAUAUCGUGAGGAACACCAGAGGCGAAGGCGACUUCCUGGACAAUUGCUGACGCUCAGGCACGAAAGCGUGGGGAGCCAAAGGG
This 253-nucleotide ribosomal RNA is filed under the name uncultured bacterium. Its description in RNAcentral is "partial 16S ribosomal RNA". It matches the Rfam family "Bacterial small subunit ribosomal RNA", at positions 524 to 776 of the family's 1533-position model. The record is from RNAcentral.